Non-coding RNA from Odocoileus virginianus texanus, 278 nucleotides. NCBI's taxonomy places the organism in Eukaryota, Metazoa, Chordata, Mammalia, Artiodactyla, Cervidae. The record is from RefSeq and is a predicted model, not a curated record.
CAAAUGCUUAACAUUUCCCCUCAUGGUUCAGACUCAGUUUUCCAUUACUCAACCUGAAAACAAGAUAAUGAGAGCAAUCAAGGACCAGGCUCCAUGGAAGCAAGAGAUUCUGUAUUUUGCUCACCACCUUAGUGCUUCGAACAAUGCCUGGUACAUAGCAGAUGUUUAAUGAAUAUUUGACAGGUCCUGCAUGUCUGUGAUCCCAAUGAGUCACCACCAGGGAAUGGAAUCUCGGGUGUAACUUGCAUUUUCAGACUCCACAUCAUCCAAGAUGUACC